GGCGGGGUAGCUCAGGUGGUUAGAGCAGCGGAAUCAUAAUCCGCGUGUCGGGGGUUCAAGUCCCUCUCCCGCUA
This is a non-coding RNA of Rhizobiales bacterium 63-7, 74 nucleotides long. Lineage: Bacteria; Pseudomonadati; Pseudomonadota; Alphaproteobacteria; Hyphomicrobiales. The record is from Rfam.